AGAGUUUGAUCAUGGCUCAGGACGAACGCUGGCGGCGUGCUUAACACAUGCAAGUCGAACGAUGACGAUGGUGCUUGCACCGUCUGAUUAGUGGCGAACGGGUGAGUAACACGUGAGUAACCUGCCCUCCUCUUCGGGAUAACCGCCGGAAACGGUGGCUAAUACCGGAUAUGAAUGCCUGCCGCAUGGUGGGUGUUGGAAAGAUUUAUCGGUGGGGGAUGGACUCGCGGCCUAUCAGUUUGUUGGUGAGGUAAUGGCUCACCAAGGCGAUGACGGGUAGCCGGCCUGAGAGGGCGACCGGCCACACUGGGACUGAGACACGGCCCAGACUCCUACGGGAGGCAGCAGUGGGGAAUAUUGCACAAUGGGCGAAAGCCUGAUGCAGCGACGCCGCGUGGGGGAUGACGGCCUUCGGGUUGUAAACCUCUUUCAGCAGGGAAGAAGCGAGAGUGACGGUACCUGCAGAAGAAGCGCCGGCUAACUACGUGCCAGCAGCCGCGGUAAUACGUAGGGCGCAAGCGUUGUCCGGAAUUAUUGGGCGUAAAGAGCUUGUAGGUGGCUUGUCGCGUCUGCCGUGAAAACCCGAGGCUCACCUCGGGCGUGCGGUGGGUACGGGCAGGCUA
RNAcentral lists this ribosomal RNA (623 nucleotides) under uncultured bacterium. RNAcentral's name for it is "bacterial SSU rRNA". It matches the Rfam family "Bacterial small subunit ribosomal RNA", at positions 8 to 643 of the family's 1533-position model. The record is from RNAcentral.